UACGAAGGGGGCUAGCGUUGCUCGGAAUCACUGGGCGUAAAGCGCACGUAGGCGGACUCUUAAGUCAGGGGUGAAAUCCUGGAGCUCAACUCCAGAACUGCCUUUGAUACUGGGAGUCUUGAGUUCGGGAGAGGUGAGUGGAACUGCGAGUGUAGAGGUGAAAUUCGUAGAUAUUCGCAAGAACACCAGUGGCGAAGGCAGCUCGCUAAACUGUAACUGACGCUGAGGCACGAAAGCGUGGGUAGCAAACAGG
RNAcentral lists this ribosomal RNA (253 nucleotides) under uncultured bacterium. Its description in RNAcentral is "partial 16S ribosomal RNA". It matches the Rfam family "Bacterial small subunit ribosomal RNA", at positions 524 to 776 of the family's 1533-position model. The record is from RNAcentral.